UACGGGGGGGGCAAGCGUUGUUCGGAAUUACUGGGCGUAAAGGGUUCGUAGGUGGCCUACUAAGUCAGACGUGAAAUCCCUCAGCUUAACUGGGGAACUGCGUCUGAUACUGGGGGGCUUGAGUGCAGGAGAGGAACGCGGAAUUCCAGGUGUAGCGGUGAAAUGCGUAGAUAUCUGGAGGAACACCGGUGGCGAAGGCGGCGUUCUGGACUGCAACUGACACUGAUGAACGAAAGCCAGGGGAGCAAACGGG
This 253-nucleotide ribosomal RNA is filed under the name uncultured bacterium. RNAcentral's name for it is "partial 16S ribosomal RNA". It matches the Rfam family "Bacterial small subunit ribosomal RNA", at positions 524 to 776 of the family's 1533-position model. The record is from RNAcentral.